CACAUGUCUGUAGGUGCCAUUAUCUCCCUCUCAUCACUCAUCAAAAAUCUGUGUGCAUUUUAGGUAAAGUUCUGGGCAACCUACAGCUGAACCAAAGUUUAUGAGAACCAAGCCCUCAGUGCCAUAUUCCUCCACAACAACUACAACUACAUCCUCAAGUCCCUGGAGAAGUCAGAAUUAAUCCAGUUGGUGGCCGUCACUAA
Long non-coding RNA from Clupea harengus (Atlantic herring), 203 nucleotides. RefSeq lists it as uncharacterized. The transcript has 2 exons. The record is from RefSeq and is a predicted model, not a curated record. NCBI's taxonomy places the organism in Eukaryota, Metazoa, Chordata, Actinopteri, Clupeiformes, Clupeidae.